UGAAGAAGCUUGCUUCUGAUUGAUAACAUUUGAGUGAGUGGCGGACGGGUGAGUAACACGUGGGUAACCUGCCCUAAAGUGGGGGAUAACAUUUGGAAACAGAUGCUAAUACCGCAUAAAACCUAGCACCGCAUGGUGCAAGGUUGAAAGAUGGUUUCGGCUAUCACUUUAGGAUGGACCCGCGGUGCAUUAGUUAGUUGGUGAGGUAAAGGCUCACCAAGACCGUGAUGCAUAGCCGACCUGAGAGGGUAAUCGGCCACACUGGGACUGAGACACGGCCCAGACUCCUACGGGAGGCAGCAGUAGGGAAUCUUCCACAAUGGACGAAAGUCUGAUGGAGCAACGCCGCGUGAGUGAAGAAGGUUUUCGGAUCGUAAAACUCUGUUGUUGGAGAAGAACGUAUUUGAUAGUAACUGAUCAGGUAGUGACGGUAUCCAACCAGAAAGCCACGGCUAACUACGUGCCAGCAGCCGCGGUAAUACGUAGGUGGCAAGCGUUGUCCGGAUUUAUUGGGCGUAAAGCGAGCGCAGGCGGUUUCUUAAGUCUGAUGUGAAAGCCUUCGGCUCAACCGAAGAAGUGCAUCGGAAACUGGGAAACUUGAGUGCAGAAGAGGACAGUGGAACUCCAUGUGUAGCGGUGAAAUGCGUAGAUAUAUGGAAGAACCCCCAAGUGGCGAAGGCGGCUGUCUGGUCUGUAACUGACGCUGAGGCUCGAAAGCAUGGGUAGCAAACAGGAUUAGAUACCCUGGUAGUCCAUGCCGUAAACGAUGAGUGCUAGGUGUUGGAGGGUUUCCGCCCUUCAGUGCCGCAGCUAACGCAUUAAGCACUCCGCCUGGGGAGUACGACCGCAAGGUUGAAACUCAAAGGAAUUGACGGGGGCCCGCACAAGCGGUGGAGCAUGUGGUUUAAUUCGAAGCAACGCGAAGAACCUUACCAGGUCUUGACAUCCUUUGACCACUCUAGAGAUAGAGCUUUCCCUUCGGGGACAAAGUGACAGGUGGUGCAUGGUUGUCGUCAGCUCGUGUCGUGAGAUGUUGGGUUAAGUCCCGCAACGAGCGCAACCCUUAUUACUAGUUGCCAGCAUUUAGUUGGGCACUCUAGUGAGACUGCCGGUGACAAACCGGAGGAAGGUGGGGACGACGUCAAAUCAUCAUGCCCCUUAUGACCUGGGCUACACACGUGCUACAAUGGAUGGUACAACGAGUCGCGAGACCGCGAGGUUUAGCUAAUCUCUUAAAACCAUUCUCAGUUCGGAUUGUAGGCUGCAACUCGCCUACAUGAAGCCGGAAUCGCUAGUAAUCGCGGAUCAGCAUGCCGCGG
Molecule: ribosomal RNA, 1319 nt
Filed under: Latilactobacillus curvatus
Lineage: Bacteria; Bacillati; Bacillota; Bacilli; Lactobacillales; Lactobacillaceae
Description: bacterial SSU rRNA
Rfam family: Bacterial small subunit ribosomal RNA
Source: RNAcentral